Molecule: unclassified non-coding RNA, 294 nt
Filed under: uncultured Tremella
Lineage: Eukaryota; Fungi; Basidiomycota; Tremellomycetes; Tremellales; Tremellaceae
Description: sequence contains ITS1
Rfam family: 5.8S ribosomal RNA (bases 1-105)
Source: RNAcentral
GAAUUGCGAAAAGUAAUGUGAAUUGCAGAAUUCAGUGAAUCAUCGAAUCUUUGAACGCACCUUGCGCCUUUUGGUAUUCCGAAAGGCAUGCCUGUUUGAGUGUCAUGUAGACUCAACCCCCUGGGUUUCUGACCCGGCGGUGUUGGAUUUGGGCCCUGCCUCUCUGGCUGGCCUUAAAUGCGUUAGUGGUUUCACGCAGACGUCGUAAGUUACGCGUCGACUGUGGGCCGCUCACAACCCCCUUUACUUUUGCACUCUGGCCUCAAAUCAGGUAGGGCUACCCGCUGAACUUAA